This is a long non-coding RNA of Tripterygium wilfordii, 1077 nucleotides long. RefSeq lists it as uncharacterized. The transcript has 3 exons. NCBI's taxonomy places the organism in Eukaryota, Viridiplantae, Streptophyta, Magnoliopsida, Celastrales, Celastraceae. The record is from RefSeq and is a predicted model, not a curated record.
AGAGGUAUGGAGGGCGUGGGCCAGCCGUGAUCCGCAUCCGAACUGCCCGUUGGCAUCCCUACAGAGUGCCAGAAAUGCUCUGUUUGAUCCCGCUAAAGCGUUAAAUAAGUUUGAUGAACCUCACACGCUCACACCUAACUCCAAGGGGGCACCAGGCCGAGCCACACUUCAUUAAUCCUCCUCAUGUCUCCAACCAAGAUAGCCAAGAAAUCUAAAAAAAAAAAAAGAAAGUGCUUUGUAUGUCAGCUAAUUUUCUUAUCGAUUCUGACGAUGUUUCUUUGAAGGAAAAUCCGUGGCCUUCCAUAGCCUUGUGUCUCAAUUGCGGUGAAAAGCAAGUCCUGAUGAUGCUUUGAUCACAACUUUAACUGUUAGAGAAGCCGUUUACUUCUCAGCUCAGCUUAAAAUUCAAUUACCAGACUCCAUGACUCAAGAUCAAGAAAGCUGCAUCAUAUGGUAUGUUGGGAGCUUUUCCAACACGAAUAAAGAUUGCAUAAACCUGAAUGGCAGCCAAUUCCAACAUGUACACCACCAACACCAUCACUCACAGUACUCCUGGUUAUGUUCUCCUCAACCACAUCAAUGGCAGAACCAUAGAGGUCAGGAGUACUACUGUUGCUACUCAGACCACAAUUUACUCCCAAACAAUGACCACUACUAAUAAGCUCCCCUCUUUAGUUUUAAAUAGAGAGCAGUUUUUCCUUGAAAUGCUCCGCCUGUCCAUGCAACUGGAUUAGCUUGCAGGUUCUCAAAUCAAGGAAGAGACAAGGGAUGAGAAAAUCAACCACUUCAUGGUCAUUUGGAUGGAAAUCCAUUAUGUAAUACAUUGGUAAUUCUGGUAAAUCAUUGACUCGAUAACAUAAACUCCUGCCUUUUCUUCUCCUUCUCCUUCUGCAUUGUUUUCCUUGGGUUUGGAAUCACUUCCCCCCAUUUGCAAAUAUUACAACUUUGUUUGAGUAAACAAAUUGUGUUUAGUGAUUAGUGAUUAGUGUGAGAAUUGUACUAUUCUAUGACUUGAAACUAAGGUAUUUAUACCAAAAAAUUAAGAUUAUUAGAGAAGCAAAAUUUAUGGGGGAAAAA